This 343-nucleotide unclassified non-coding RNA is filed under the name soil metagenome. Its description in RNAcentral is "partial contains 5.8S ribosomal RNA, internal transcribed spacer 2, and large subunit ribosomal RNA". The stretch from base 1 to 120 matches the Rfam family "5.8S ribosomal RNA", at positions 35 to 154 of the family's 154-position model. The record is from RNAcentral.
GAUGAAGAACGUAGCGAAAUGCGAUAAGUAAUGUGAAUUGCAGAAUUCGGUGAAUCAUCGAAUCUUUGAACGCACAUUGCGCCCGCCAGCAUUCUGGCGGGCAUGCCUGUUCGAGCGUCAUUUCAACCCUCGAGCCCCCCCGGGGGCCUCGGUGUUGGGGGACGGCACACCAGCCGCCCCCGAAAUGCAGUGGCGACCCCGCCGCAGCCUCCCCUGCGUAGUAGCACACACCUCGCACCGGAGCGCGGAGGCGGUCACGCCGUAAAACGCCCAACUUUCUUAGAGUUGACCUCGGAUCAGGUAGGAAUACCCGCUGAACUUAAGCAUAUCAAUAAGCGGAGGA